GUAUAAUCUAUCAUGUCUAGAGAAUGUACUGUAUUACAGGACUACAUGAGAGACACCUAACAUAAAUUUUGGAAGGCAGGGUGGGGAGAGAUCUGGGAGGGCUCCUUAAAGGAAUCUAAACUGAGGAUAAGUUAAAAUUUUCUAGACAAAAAAUAAGCUGAAAAUUGUUCUAACCGUGGGGAACAGCGUGUAAGAAGGAGAGAAAAGGUAAGAUAAUUUGAUGGCACUCAGGGAAGUUCAUUUUAAUAUCAAUAGUCCAGCCCUUCUUGCUUUAUCACUAAAGGCCAUUUCCAUGUAGUGAUACAUUCAAAAGACACAAAAUGCUAGUACCAAAAAAGCUUGGAAUUAUAGCCAGUCACACCACAUCUAGAAAAAUUUCUAAGGGUCUUUGACUUUAUUGCUGUUGAAGUUCCUUAGAAGCAGAGCCCGAGGCAGUAAUUGGGGUGCAGGUGAUUCAGUCGGGAGCGUGCUUCAGGAAGAACCUGUAAAGGAAGCGGGAUAAUCAGGAAAUUGAGCUGAGCAACGGUGCAGUUUCAGGUGAGAUCUAGCCUUGCUAAUCCAAGGGGGAAGGGCUCUGUAGCAAAAACCACACCAGAGAGCUGCCCCCUGUACUUCAGGAAAAGGGCCUACUUUUUGUACCCAUAAAGCCAGUCAUUGGCAGAAGGCAUAAUAUUGGGAACAUACUUUCCUCGUUCUGACACAUAUAUUUCAGCCCUUCCAUCUCAUUUUGUUUCCAUUAUUUUGACCACACAAUGUUUUCUAGAGCUAAGUAAUACAAUUACAGACUCCUGAGAAAGUUGAGGGAGGAAGGAAACAGGUGUUGCUGCUGUGAUGCUUUUCUCAGUACUGCUGGAGUGCAGGGUGUGUGUGGAGGCAGAGAGUGGGCUGUGGAGAAACUAAGGCUGGAGAGAUGCCUGCUUCCCUUUCGCUUCUCUGCUAUGUUAUGACACAGCAAGAGGCCCUCAUCAGGAGCUAACCAGAUUUGGCCACCAGUCUUGGACUUCCCAACCUCCUGAACGAUUAUUUUUCAAGACUAUUUCACUAAGUGGAUAGAGACUACUUACCAUCAAGCCUUGUGUUACCUCUGAGGAAGCAUUCUAACUUAUUGGCCAAAAGACUGCAGCGAAUUUUGUUUUGGGAGACUUCUAAGGACACUAAAUUUGAGUUUGAUUCAUUUAUUUCCACUUCCACAGAGUUGCAAUCAAUUCUGUAAGUGAUUCAUAAGCCAACAAGCAGAACACAUUGAAAUGAUUUGUAGUUUGUAAGAAUAACAUUUAUCAAGUUCCUGCUUUUAUUUAAACCUGCAUUAUGGUUAUUAUUGGACAAAGAAGUACCCCUAUAUCGUCACGGAAUGUAAAGUGAACCACAAGAAAAUUUAAUAGAUGCAAUUUAGUAACAUGCUAAUGAAAUUUCUAAAUUUGGAAUAUAUCUUCAUCCUAUAUUUGGCUAUUUUUCUUUUGGUGGCCAGCUCAUAUGUACUUUGCCCAGUGUUCUUAGUUUUUUUCCGGACAACUCAAAUGUAACAUGUCUGAAGCAAAACCAAGAAUGGAUAUGGACUUUAAAUGCAACAGCUGAAUUAAAGUCACUGUUUACUCAUACACAAGCUGUAUGGCUUUUGGCUAGUUAAUACAUCUGAAGGCUUAGAUCAAAGGAGUAUAUUAACAGAUGCACCUCAAAAGGCUAUUGUGAGAAUUAAUAAGACCAAUGUGUACAAUGGUACAGUGCUGGCUGUUCAAAAAUGAUAUGUGCAUUUGCAUUCAACAAAUGAUAGCUCCUUUCACUUCCAUUUUCUACACUUGGCCAAGUUGUUCAUCAAUUUCCAAUGAAAAAUAAUUUGAAUCAAUUCCAGAGUUGGGGAAUAAUCCUACAACUUCCCUUCCCUCAUUCUCCUAUAUCAAUUAAUUCACAGAGAUUUGCUUCCCUGCCUCAUAUUAUUUCUAGAGUUGGUCUUUUCUCCAUCUCUCAUAUUACUAAAGAGCCUCUUCCAACUGGACAUUUCACUAGUCUUUACCUGGUUCCCUAUAUCCAUUUUUGUUACUGUCUUCUGCCUAUCCAUUUUCUGAGCUUUUUUUGCUGUUAUUUUUCUAACUUCUAAAGACAGAUGCUUAGCUCAAUAAAUACUAGCCACUUUUAUUUUCUAAUGUACUCUUUUAAGGCUGUAAAAUGAUAGGUAUUGUUUUAACUGCACCCCAGAAGUUUUGAUAGGUAGUGAUUAUUGAUUCUACAUAUUUUAAAUUUUUCAGUGUUUCUUAACUUCAGAAAUACAGAAUUUAUUUUGCUAUCUUUUGUGAUUUUUUUCCAUUUUAAUGUUGCUGAUAGUAGAAAAAAAACUCUCUGAUUCCUUUUCUUUGAAAUAUGUCUUGUUUUAUUGUCCAGUCUGCAGUUCAUUUUUAUAAAUGUUCUAUCUGGGCUAAACAAAAUA
Molecule: long non-coding RNA, 2422 nt
Filed under: Homo sapiens (human)
Lineage: Eukaryota; Metazoa; Chordata; Mammalia; Primates; Hominidae
Description: HSALNT0180307
Source: RNAcentral